This 445-nucleotide ribosomal RNA is filed under the name uncultured bacterium. RNAcentral describes it as "partial 16S ribosomal RNA". It matches the Rfam family "Bacterial small subunit ribosomal RNA", at positions 354 to 796 of the family's 1533-position model. The record is from RNAcentral.
GUGAGGAAUAUUGGUCAAUGGGCGGGAGCCUGAACCAGCCAAGUCGCGUGAAGGAAGAAGGAUCUAUGGUUCGUAAACUUCUUUUGCAGGGGAAUAAAGUGCAGGACGUGUCCUGUUUUGUAUGUACCCUGAGAAUAAGGAUCGGCUAACUCCGUGCCAGCAGCCGCGGUAAUACGGAGGAUCCGAGCCUUAUCCGGAUUUAUUGGGUUUAAAGGGGGCGUAGGUGGUUUGAUAAGUCAGCGUUGAAAGUUUGCAGCUUAACUGUAAACAUGCCGUUGAAACUGUCGGACUUGAGUGUAAAUGAGGUAGGCGGAAUGCGUGGUGUAGCGGUGAAAUGCAUAGAUAUCACGCAGAACUCCGAUUGCGAAGGCAGCUUACUAAGCUACAACUGACACUGAAGCACGAAAGCGUGGGGAUCAAACAGGAUUAGAAACCCCGGUAGUCC